CUCGUAAUUGCUGUGGGGAGGACAGGCCAGCUCUGGAAGAAAACAGGAGUUAAAUAAUUGAGCAAGCAUUACUAUUCUGGAGCAUUUCCAACCAGAAGAGGACCAAGGGAGCAGAGAGAGGGUUGUGGGGGCCAAGAUUUGUCAUUUCAGCAUAACCCAGACCAUCCUGACUGAUGCAAUAGCGCUCAGUGUCAUCUGCCAUUGUUAUUGCAGAGUUUUAAGCAGGAAUUUUUGUCUAUUUUUCAACAAAGUUCCUGCCUUUGAAGAAUACAUACUCUGUCAAAAGGAAGACAGAUCAUAAACAAGGAAGUGAUUGACAGAAAAGAUGAUUUAAGAGACUGACAGAUACUUCAAAGGAGAGAAAAUGAGAAGGGUUACAGUAGAGAGAGGCUAGGAGUGGUGGCCUUUUCACGUGUAUGGUCAGGGAGGGCUUCUUGGAGAAGGUGACAUUUGCACUGAGACUUCAAGGAUGAGAAUGAUCAGUUACAUAAGGACCUCCAGGAAGAGUGUUUAAGGCAGAGGAAACAGCCUGUGCAAAGGCCCUGAGGUGGGAGCCUCCCUGGGGUACAGGAGGACACUAGGAGGUC
This 587-nucleotide long non-coding RNA is filed under the name Macaca nemestrina (pig-tailed macaque). RNAcentral's name for it is "lncRNA (ENSMNEG00000046006.1)". The record is from RNAcentral. Lineage: Eukaryota; Metazoa; Chordata; Mammalia; Primates; Cercopithecidae.